CGCACAUUGCGCCCCUUGGUAUUCCAUGGGGCAUGCCUGUUCGAGCGUCAUUUGUACCCUCAAGCUCUGCUUGGUGUUGGGUGUUUGUUCCGCCGAGCGCGUGAACUCGCCUCAAAUGCAUUGGCAGCCGGCAAUCUGGUGUUUGAGCGCAGCACAAUUUGCGCUCUCCGCUGGUUGCGGCGUCCACAAAGCCCAUUUUUUAUGCGCUUGACCUCGGAUCAGGUAGGGAUACCCGCUGAACUUAA
This 245-nucleotide unclassified non-coding RNA is filed under the name Pyrenochaeta sp. Its description in RNAcentral is "partial contains 5.8S ribosomal RNA, internal transcribed spacer 2, and large subunit ribosomal RNA". Lineage: Eukaryota; Fungi; Ascomycota; Dothideomycetes; Pleosporales; Cucurbitariaceae. The record is from RNAcentral.